Cercocebus atys (sooty mangabey) is the source of this 755-nucleotide long non-coding RNA. RefSeq lists it as uncharacterized. The transcript is spliced from 3 exons. The record is from RefSeq and is a predicted model, not a curated record. NCBI's taxonomy places the organism in Eukaryota, Metazoa, Chordata, Mammalia, Primates, Cercopithecidae.
CGCGUUCCCUCGUUGAUUGGCUCACUCUUCCUUUCAUCCAUCCAUCCUUUGCGCAAUAAUAUUUGAUGAGAAGUCUGCCAAGGGAGUUCUGUACUCAUUUCCGUUCUUCAGGGCCCCUAAAGACCAGAUCCAUCAUUGCUGGGACAUCUGCAUCACAUGUGAAUGGGUAGGAUUUGGAGUGGUUGGUGAACCCACCACUCUAGAGUCUGAAGCUUACAGGUGUAAAACAAAAAGGAAGGAAGGAAGACUGGUGGAAUAAAUAAACCAAAGGUAAGUGGAGCCCCCUUCGCCAUUCUUAUCCUUUUUCAUAACUGUUAUGUUGUAUCGUUAAAGUGUAGUGUACAUUUUAUCUCCUUACCUAACAUCCAUUGCCCCUUUCUUCUUUCCUAACAGGAACUAAAUUUUGUUCAGACAUCCACUCUUCACCUUCCCAGCCCCUGUUUGCCUGUAACUACAAAGCAGGUGGCUAGAUAACCCCAUCCCCUUUGCCAAGGGUUAGUUUACACUCACUUUAGGUAAUCACAGUCAUUCCUCUUCCAUCUCCAAUGAUUAGAUUAGGAAUAGAUCAUGUCACUCGAUUUAGAACAGUCUUAAAAGGAAGUCUGCUGAGAGAUCUCUAGGAAAGGUUUCCUCUUAAAAGGGAGAAUUCAAGACAGAAAUGGCAAUCAAUGUUAAAAACAUUAGGCUAGGCAGGCCAGGUGCAGUGGCUCACGCCUGUUACCCCAGCACUUUGGGAGGCCGAGGUGGGAGGAUCA